This 497-nucleotide ribosomal RNA is filed under the name uncultured bacterium. Its description in RNAcentral is "partial 16S ribosomal RNA". It matches the Rfam family "Bacterial small subunit ribosomal RNA", at positions 28 to 507 of the family's 1533-position model. The record is from RNAcentral.
GAUGAACGCUGGCGGCGUGCCUAAUACAUGCAAGUCGAGCGGACGGACGAGGAGCUUGCUUCUCUGAUGUUGGCGGCGGACGGGUGAUUCACACGUGGCUACCCUACCUAUAAGACUGGGGUAACUUCGGGAACGCUGAUCUCAUACCGGAUCAUAUUUUGAACCGCGUGGUUCAACAGUCAAAGCCGUUUUUGCUGACCCUUAUAGGUGGAUCCGCGCUGCAUUAGCUAGUUGGUACGGUAACGGCUUACCAAGGCGACGAUGCGUAGCCGACCUGAGAGGAUGAUCGGCCACACUGGAACUGAGACACGGUCCAGACUCCUACGGGAGGCAGCAGUAGGGAAUAUUGGGCAAUGGGCGAAAGCCUGACGGAGCAACGCCGCGUGAGUGAUGAAGGUCUUCGGAUUGUAAAGCUCUGUUAGUAGGGAAGAAGAGAAGUGUAAGUAACUGUGCCUGUCUUGACGGUACCUAAUGAGAAAGCCCCGGCUAACUACGUG